Molecule: ribosomal RNA, 253 nt
Filed under: uncultured bacterium
Lineage: Bacteria
Description: partial 16S ribosomal RNA
Rfam family: Bacterial small subunit ribosomal RNA
Source: RNAcentral
UACGGAGGGUGCAAGCGUUAUCCGGAUUUACUGGGUUUAAAGGGUGCGUAGGUGGGUCGGAAAGUCAGUGGUGAAAUCUUCGGGCUUAACCCGGAAACUGCCAUUGAUACUAUUUAUCUUGAAUACUUUGGAGGUAAGCGGAAUAUGUCAUGUAGCGGUGAAAUGCUUAGAUAUGACAUAGAACACCAAUUGCGAAGGCAGCUUACUAGACAGUUAUUGACACUGAGGCACGAAAGCGUGGGGAGCGAGCCGG